Molecule: long non-coding RNA, 240 nt
Organism: Xiphophorus couchianus (Monterrey platyfish)
Lineage: Eukaryota; Metazoa; Chordata; Actinopteri; Cyprinodontiformes; Poeciliidae
Exons: 2
Source: RefSeq, a predicted model, not a curated record
UCCUUCACUCCAAAAUCUUCCAGGUCGUUCCAGCUCAGGUCCAGUUCAGUCAGAUGUGAGGGGUUAAAGGUCAGAGCUGAGGCCAGAGAAGAACAGCUGAUCUCUGACAAACUGCAGCUCUUCAAUCUGGAUAAAGAAUAAAAGAUGUGAGCUGAAGCCAACAGGAUGCAGGUUAACCAGUCCAACAGAACCAGUUAAAGAGUCUCAUGAAUAUUAAUGCCAACAUGCUGCUGCUUCAAU